CCGCUGCAAGAGUCGGGCGCCGGACACCCGCACGCAUUCUUCUCCUCCCUUGCCCGCUGGCUUUCUGGACGUCUUUCGAGCUGCCUCUCUGUGGCGAGGCUCCCUCACUCUGAUCUAGCGAUUGUUGGGAGGUUCAGGGCUUAAGUCAACCACAGGCAAAGUGAAACCCCAUGGAGGAGCAGCAGAAAUAGUCAGUGUUACUGUGAUGGACAUAUACCAGAAGCUCUCCCUUGGCCCAUAAGGAAACAAAAUACUGUUUUACACCCUUACCUUGCAGGGCCUCUUCUGCUAGGGCUACUAUUCCCAGUAGGCAAGUCCUGGCAGUGACGCCAUCGGUAUUUCCCUUCUCAGGCCCUGACCUAGAUGAUAUUACCAGCGCACUCAAUGGGGAUCCAGACAAACUGCAAUGCUUAAAUGAGAUGUUUUACAUAGACUGGUGGGUACUUUGAGGUCAAGUAAGUUAACAGUCCUAAAUGAGUCGUGCUGCUGCUAGAUGUUGGUACCAUGAUCCUUCUUUCCCUGGAGGUGAUCGAAGAAAGUUCACACAGUAUUUUGUAUUAUACUGAAGACAUCAUGAGAAAAGAUAAUUAAUGGAAGAAGCAGAUGCUGGCUGGAUAAAGCAACCCAUCAGUUCUUGGAUAAACGCUGGACGUUUUAGAUUUAGAUUUUUUUUUCAGAUGAACUUCAAAGGCCAUGCAGCAAAGCAUAUCCUCCAAUUCAUCACUAAAAUUGUCAUCCACUUGAUACAACGCUAAUGACCCACUGGAAUUGGAACGCCAUUGUCUGACACACUCUGCUUAUUGUUGACACAGAUUUAGCAGACAGCACAAAACUGGAUGAGCUCUCAUUGCAGCUGAAGAGGAACGAAGCGAACACAUGAUUUCGAAGGAGAUUUUGGAUAGAGUAGAAAGAAGGAAAUGGAAGAAUAAAUUGUUUUACUUACAAUUUUUGUGUAUAGAGAUUAUAGGUUAAAAUUACUUGUACUGUAAUAUUUUCAUUUAAUGUUAGACUAUAUACUCAAUGUCCACUUUAUUAGGUACAUUUGUUCACUUGCUAGUUAAUGCAGAUAUCUAAUUAGCCAGUCAUGUGGCAGCAACUCAAUGCAUAAAAGCAUGCAGACAUGAUCAACAGGUUCUGUUGUUAUUCAGACCAAGAAUGGAGAAGAAAUGUGAUCUAAGUGACUUUGACCAUGAAAUAAUUGUUGAUGCUAGAUGGGGUGGUUUGAAUAUCUCAUAAACUGCAGAUCUCCUGGGAUUUUCACACACAACAGUCCAGAGUUUACUGAGAAAAGUGAAAAACAUCCAAUGAGAGGCAAAAAUGGCUUGUUAAUGAGAGAGGUCAGAGGAGAAUGGCCAGACUGGUUAAAGCUGACAGGAAGGCGACAGUAUCUCUGCAGAAAAGCAUCUCUGAAUGCAUAACCAUAUUGAACCUUGAAAUGGAUGGGCUACAGCAGCAAACGACCAUGUACGUUCACUCAGUGGCCUUUUUAUUAGUACAGGAGUAUCUAAUUAAGUGGCCACUGAGUGUGUAUUUGGCCAGACCAUGGCAGGAAAAGAACAGGUAAAUCUGUUUCAUUUUAAUGGUCCCUGGCUGAUUUCUACCAAGGCAGAAUUAGAAGUGAGAUGUCAGGGUUUCAGUAUGAAAGAUUUUUAAUAAACUGACUAUUUUUGUAGAUAAAUAAGCAUGUGUGUUUCAUAAGAAGCAAAGUUUGGUCUUAUUUGUCUUUUUAAAUCUUGACUUAAUUCAAAAUAUCUGCUCAGUUCACAGUCGGCAGAAGUCAAUACAAUCCUGUUUCUGAACUGUAAAGUAACACAACUGACAGCAUUAAUGAAAAAUAUUUAACAUUCAAUAAAUGGCCAACUUGUUAAGACUUAUCAAUGCAACGCUGACAUGAGAAAUAAAAAUGUAGCUUGCUCAUAUUUUCAGCAUCAUCCUAAUCAGAACAAUUUAUCUGAACAGCAGGGCCCAGGGGAAUGAGUUACCUCUGUAAUUAUACAAAGUCGAAACUCUGAUGGUUGAGGGCUAAUCAUAUUGUGCAAGUUCUCUCAACCCAAUAUCCUAUUUUGUUCAUCUGUUCAGUCUUGCUUGAAAGUUGCUGUUGGAAAUGUAAUUACCGUGAGCCCUUUUUAAAAGUAAUUUUCUUAGUGACUUCUGUUUUCAGUCUGCUCAUUGAUGUCAGUAGCACAUUUUUUUUAAACAGUUUAUAAAACUCCAUAAAUAGAACAAACAUAGGGUAGUUUUAACUGUCUACUUUUAAAAACUGGCAUUAAUGAUGUUAAUCAACACACACAAAAUGCUGGAGGAAUUCAGCAGGCCAGACAGCAUCUAUGGAAAAGAGUACAGUUGAUAUUUUGGGCUGAGACCUUUCAUCAGGACUGGAAAGAAAAGGGGAGGGAGUCAGGCUAAGAAGGUGGGGAGGAAGAAGUAGAAGGUGGCAGGUGAUUGGUGAAACUGGGAGAGGAGGAAGAAUGAAAUAAAGAGCUUGGAAGUUGAUUGGUGAAAGGGAGAAAGGACUGGGGGAGUCUGAUAGCACAGGAGAGAAGAUCAUGGAAGAAAGGGAAGGGGGAGGAGCACCAGAGGGAGGAGAUGGGCAGGUAAGGAGGUAAGGUGGGAGAGGGAAACAGGAUGGGGAAUGGUGAAAGUGGGGGGGAGACAAUUGUCAGAAGUUCAAGAAAUCGAUGCUCAUGCCAUUAGGUUGGAGGUUACCCAGACGGAAUAUAAGGUGUUGAUCUUCCAACUUGAGUGUGGCCUCGUAGUGUCAAUAGAGGAGGCCAUGGACUGACAUGUCCGAAUAGGAAGCAGAAUUGAAGUGGGUGGCCAGUGGGAAAUCCUGCUUUUUGUGGCAGAUGGAGCGAAGAUACAUGGCGAACCGGUCUCCCAAUCUAUGUUGUGUCUCACCAAUAUACAGGAGUUCACACUGGGAAUAGCAGAUACAGUAGAUGCCCCCAACAGACUUGCAGGUGAAGUGCCGCCUCUCCUGGAAGGACUGUUUGGGGCCCUUAAUGGUAGUGAGGGAGGAGGUGUUAGGGGCAGGUGUGGCACUUGUUCCAUUUGCAAGGGUAGCUGAGGGAGAUCAGUGGAGAGGGAUGAGUGGAAAAGGGAGUUGCGUAGGGAGUGCUCCCUAUGCGAAGCAGAAAGUGGGGAGUUUCCAGCAUCUGCAGAUUUUCUUGUGAUCUUCAUCCUUGUAAUUAUGGAUUUAUGAUUUAGGAAUGGGCCAAAGGCCCUGCUUCUGUGUUGUAGAGCUCUAUUACUCCAGGUAAAUGAAGUGUUGUUCAAUAUUGCAACCAACUAUUUUUCACUGGCUCUUCAGAGUUAUAUUAAAAGUAAAUGUUUUUGACUACUAGGCUAGGUAAGAAAGAAGAGUUUAUUAUAUGUAUAAGCAACACACACAAAAUGCUGGUGGAAUGCAGCAGGUCAGGCAGCAUCUGUGGUGGUUUCUUUCGAACUUAUAGUCUUUUAACAUCUUUGGACUAUUUUUACUGUGCCCAAGGUCUGUUUUUUUUAUCAGUUAUGUUAUUGUUUGCACUGUUGUAACUAUAUAUUGUAACUAUUUGGUUUUGUGCAGGUCUUGCAGCUUUAGUUUUUGGUCUUCUUUUGUCUGCGAUUGGAGCUCUUUUCCGGGGAACGUGCUAAGAUGGUAGUGUGAUAUUAAUACACAGCAGCCUCUCCGGACUCUGGAUUGGGGAUUGCCAAACAUUACGAGGAUUUUCUGGUGUAGUCUGUUUUGUCGUGUGUUUUUGUGAUAUCAUUCUGGAGGAACGUUGUCUCAUUUUUUAAUCUGCAGUGCAUUUGUGGUUACUAAAUGACAAUAAACUGAAACUGAACUGAACUGAACUGAUCUAUAGGAAGAAGUACAGUUGAUGUUUCGGGCCGAGAUCUUUUGUCAGGACUAACUGAAAGAGAGAUAGUAAGAGUUUGAGAGGGGGAGGGGAAAUCCAAAAUGAUAGGAGAAGACAGGAGGGGGAAACUAAGAGCUGGAAAGUUGAUUGGCGAAAGUGAUACCGAGCUGGAGAAGGGAAAGGAUCAUGAGACGGGAGGGCUAGUGCGAAAGAAAGGGGGAGGGGAGCACCAGAGGAAGAUGGAGAACAGGCAGAGUGAUUGUGAAAGGGACAGAGAGAGAAAAAAAGAGAGAAACAAGGGGGGUUAAAUAAAUAAACAGAUAAAUAAGGGAUGGGGUAAGAAGGGGAGGAGGGGCAUUAACGGAAGUUAGAGAAAUCAAUGUUCAUGCCAUCAGGUUGGAGGCUACCCACCACUUUAAAAUCUCUUACUAUUUUUUCUUUCAGUUAGUCCUGACGAAGGGUCUCGGCCUGAAAUGUCGACAGUGCUUCUUCCUAUAGAUGCUGCCUGGCCUGGUGCAUUCCACCAGCAUUUUGUGUGUGUUGUUUGAAUUUCCAGCAUCUGCAGAUUUCCUCAUGUUUGCGUUAUUGUGUGUGUGUGUGUGUGUGUGUUUAU
Molecule: long non-coding RNA, 4452 nt
Organism: Hypanus sabinus (Atlantic stingray)
Lineage: Eukaryota; Metazoa; Chordata; Chondrichthyes; Myliobatiformes; Dasyatidae
Exons: 3
Source: RefSeq, a predicted model, not a curated record